CUGACACUCUAAUCCAUUACUGCUCAGUACAGAGGGGAUGGGCUGUAGGGACUCUUGUUUCACAUCCAAACAUUAAACAUGGUUUAACACUGAAUGGAAGGACGGCAGCAGGAGACUCCAAACACUAUAUGGAGCAGUUACAUAGUCGGCUUUGAGAGAAAUUGCAUUUUUCCACUGGAAGCGGGGGUCGUCACAUGUACAGGGAAAACCGGGCUCUUGUAGAACAUGUUAUUCUGUUUAUUUUCAGUUAGAGUUUUCCAAUAAACGUGGAAUGAGUGUAUUUAUUAUUCUUUCCCCAAAUCUCC
This is a non-coding RNA of Pelobates cultripes (western spadefoot toad), 305 nucleotides long. Lineage: Eukaryota; Metazoa; Chordata; Amphibia; Anura; Pelobatidae. The record is from the annotation of a GenBank genome assembly.